This is a non-coding RNA of Mycena haematopus, 91 nucleotides long. The record is from the annotation of a GenBank genome assembly. Lineage: Eukaryota; Fungi; Basidiomycota; Agaricomycetes; Agaricales; Mycenaceae.
GCUCACUUAGCACAGUGGUAGUGCAUCGGAUGAGGUCUUCGCUGUGUCUUGACUUCAAUCCCGGUCCUGAGUUCGAAUCUCAGAGUGAGCU